AGUGAACGCUGGCGGUAGGCCUAACACAUGCAAGUCGAACGGCCGCACAGUAAGAGCUUGCUCUUACGGGUGGCGAGUGGCGGACGGGUGAGGAAUACAUCGGAAUCUACUUUUUCGUGGGGGAUAACGUAGGGAAACUUACGCUAAUACCGCAUACGACCUACGGGUGAAAGCAGGGGAUCUUCGGACCUUUCGCGAUUGAAUGAGCCGAUGUCGGAUUAGCUAGUUGGCGGGGUAAAGGCCCACCAAGGCGACGAUCCGUAGCUGGUCUGAGAGGAUGAUCAGCCACACUGGAACUGAGACACGGUCCAGACUCCUACGGGAGGCAGCAGUUGGGAAUAUUGGACAAUGGGCGCAAGCCUGAUCCAGCCAUACCGCGUGGGUGAAGAAGGCCUUCGGGUUGUAAAGCCCUUUUGUUGGGAAAGAAAAGCAGCAGGUUAAUACCCCGCUGUUCUGACGGUACCCAAAGAAUAAGCACCGGCUAACUUCGUG
This 492-nucleotide ribosomal RNA is filed under the name uncultured bacterium. Its description in RNAcentral is "partial 16S ribosomal RNA". It matches the Rfam family "Bacterial small subunit ribosomal RNA", at positions 29 to 507 of the family's 1533-position model. The record is from RNAcentral.